Heterocephalus glaber (naked mole-rat) is the source of this 871-nucleotide non-coding RNA. The record is from RefSeq and is a predicted model, not a curated record. Lineage: Eukaryota; Metazoa; Chordata; Mammalia; Rodentia; Bathyergidae.
GAGACGCCGUGCGCGCUUCCGCUCCUUCCCCUCGGGAAACUGCCACGCCCCCAUCCUCUCCCCCGUCCAAUAGGGGAGAGAGGGCGGGGCGACCUCGCUCUGACUCGGGAGAGGCUAUAUAGGGAGCUGCAAGUGGCGAGGUUCUUUCUUUUACGUCAGGAACUGGAGCUGGUUUCUCUUGGCUACGGGCAAUGUCACCGUUUUUCAGAGGUAUAUCGGAGUGUUUACGUGCACAUGCCAAGUUGCAUGAGAAAAUUCCAGACCAUCUACCAGAAUCUUUAAUGGAAAAAUACUUGCUCAAAACUUGACAGUCAAACCAGUGUCAUCAGUGUUGAUAAUUGAUACUGAAGCUAUAGAGAUCACUGGCCGGCUAUUUCAUUUUAAAUCAGUAAUAAGCGUUACAAUAUGCCCAGAAGCCAUCUCACUAGGAAGUGCCUAAGGUGGAUCAGUUUCUGGCUGAAUACCGUAAUGGCUUUUCCUGUCGUAUGAAAGACUGAUGGAAACAACCAAAAAGGCACACAUCAAGACCACUUUGAAAGUUGGGAUUGUGUUAGUUUUUCUUUUGCUUGGUAUUGGAGAUCUGUCAGGCAAACAGUUCAGUGGUACCUGGUAAAAUAGCCUGUGUUGCUCAGGAGUUCUUAGCUAAUCACCAUUUGUGAGAAAACAAGUGAAUCUGAGUUGCCCAGUUUGAGGAUCAUCUAACAUGCCUUUAAUCAUCUGUUUGGAUUAAAAAUAGUUCCAAUUAAAAGUGAAAAUUUAUGCAAUUUAGGGGACAGUCCAUGACAUAUUUGUAGACCUGGCCUGGUUUGUUCAUUGAUACACAAUGACUAGUCUAGUUGUGGAGUUAAUACAUGAAAUUUUUACAUAUCAA